GAUGAAGAACGUAGCGAAAUGCGAUACUUGGUGUGAAUUGCAGAAUCCCGUGAACCAUCGAGUCUUUGAACGCAAGUUGCGCCCGAAGCCACUAGGCCGAGGGCACGCCUGACUGGGCGUCACACGCCGUUGCCCCCCCAUCUACUCCUUCGGGAUUGCGGGGGGGCGGAUGAUGGCCUCCCGUGCGCCUAGCCGCGCGGUUGGCAUAAAUACCAAGUCCUCGGCGACGCACGCCACGACAAUCGGUGGUUGCGAAACCUCGGUUGCCCGUCGUGUGCGUUCGUCGCGCAUCGAGGGCUCGAAAAAAUGCUCGGCUCCGGCUGGGCUUUCAACGCGACCCCAGGUCAGGCGGGGUUACCCGCUGAAUUUAAGCAUAUCAAUAAGCGGAGGA
RNAcentral lists this unclassified non-coding RNA (391 nucleotides) under soil metagenome. RNAcentral describes it as "partial contains 5.8S ribosomal RNA, internal transcribed spacer 2, and large subunit ribosomal RNA". The stretch from base 1 to 122 matches the Rfam family "5.8S ribosomal RNA", at positions 35 to 154 of the family's 154-position model. The record is from RNAcentral.